This 84-nucleotide transfer RNA is filed under the name Clostridiales bacterium. Its description in RNAcentral is "tRNA-Leu". It matches the Rfam family "tRNA". From Rfam's summary of the family: Transfer RNA (tRNA) molecules are approximately 80 nucleotides in length. The record is from RNAcentral. Lineage: Bacteria; Bacillati; Bacillota; Clostridia; Eubacteriales.
GCGGCCGUGGCGGAAUGGCAGACGCGCUAGGCUUAGGACCUAGUAUCUUCAGAUGUGGGAGUUCGAGUCUCUUCGGCCGCACCA